GAUGAACGCUGGCGGCGUGCCUAAUACAUGCAAGUCGAGCGAACGGACGAGAAGCUUGCUUCUCUGAUGUUAGCGGCGGACGGGUGAGUAACACGUGGAUAACCUACCUAUAAGACUGGGAUAACUUCGGGAAACCGGAGCUAAUACCGGCUAAUAUUAUGAACCGCAUGGUUCAAAAGUGAAAGACGGUCUUGCUGUCACUUAUAGAUGGAUCCGCGGUGCAUUAGCUAGUUGGUAAGGUAACGGCUUACCAAGGCAACGAUGCAUAGCCGACCUGAGAGGGUGAUCGGCCACACUGGAACUGAGACACGGUCCAGACUCCUACGGGAGGCAGCAGUAGGGAAUCUUCGGCAAUGGGCGAAAGCCUGACGGAGCCACGCCGCGUGAGUGAAGAAGGUCUUCGGAUCGUAAAACUCUGUUAUUAGGGAAGAACAUAUGUGUAAGUAACUGUGCACAUCUUGACGGUACCUAAUCAGAAAGCCACGGCUAACUACGUG
This 497-nucleotide ribosomal RNA is filed under the name uncultured bacterium. RNAcentral describes it as "partial 16S ribosomal RNA". It matches the Rfam family "Bacterial small subunit ribosomal RNA", at positions 28 to 507 of the family's 1533-position model. The record is from RNAcentral.